RNAcentral lists this ribosomal RNA (297 nucleotides) under uncultured Flavobacteriaceae bacterium. RNAcentral describes it as "partial 23S ribosomal RNA". It matches the Rfam family "Bacterial large subunit ribosomal RNA", at positions 1 to 312 of the family's 2925-position model. Lineage: Bacteria; Pseudomonadati; Bacteroidota; Flavobacteriia; Flavobacteriales; Flavobacteriaceae. The record is from RNAcentral.
AAUAAGCUAUUUAAGAGCGUAAGGUGGAUGCCUUGGCUCUCAGAGGCGAUGAAGGACGUGAUAAGCUGCGAUAAGCUGCGGGGAUUGGCACACACAAUUUGAUCCGUAGAUUUCCGAAUGGGGCAACCCACUAUAUUGAAGAUAUAGUAUCCGUUAAGGAAGCAAACCCAGGGAACUGAAACAUCUAAGUACCUGGAGGAAUAGAAAACAAAAGUGAUUCCGCUAGUAGUGGCGAGCGAACGCGGAACAGCCCAAACCAAAAUUGUUUCGGCAAUUUUGGGGUUGUAGGACCACGAC